Molecule: unclassified non-coding RNA, 178 nt
Filed under: uncultured Cladophialophora
Lineage: Eukaryota; Fungi; Ascomycota; Eurotiomycetes; Chaetothyriales; Herpotrichiellaceae
Description: sequence contains ITS1
Source: RNAcentral
UCGAGUUAGGGUCUUCUAGGCCCGAUCUCCAACCCUUUGUAUAACUACCACGUUGCUUUGGUGAGCCCGUCUUUAACCGGACCGCCGGAGGUUUUCUAGCCUCUGGCCCGUGCUCGUCAGUAGCCCACACUUAAAAUUCUUUUAACCAUGUUAAAUCUGAAACUAGUUAAAUAAACUA